Molecule: ribosomal RNA, 821 nt
Filed under: uncultured bacterium
Lineage: Bacteria
Description: bacterial SSU rRNA
Rfam family: Bacterial small subunit ribosomal RNA
Source: RNAcentral
CCUAACACAUGCAAGUCGAACGGGAAAGGUCGAAAGACUGAGUAGAGUGGCGGACGGGUGAGUAAAAUAUAGGUAUCUGCCCUUUAGAGGAGAAUACCAUCGAGAAAUCGGUGUUAAUACUGCAUAAGCCCAGAGAUGGGGAAAGGUGGCCUCAAAGCUACCGCUAAAGGAUGAGCCUGUAACCUAUUAGCUAGUUGGUGGGGUAAGAGCCUACCAAGGCAAAGAUGGGUAACCGGCCUGAGAGGGUGUACGGUCACACUGGAACUGAGACACGGUCCAGACUCCUACGGGAGGCAGCAGUGGGGGAUAUUGCACAAUGGGCGCAAGCCUGAUGCAGCGACGCCGCGUGGAGGAUGAAGGUUUUCGGAUUGUAAACUCCUGUUACGUGGGAAAAAAUGCCCUGUUUGAAUAAAGCAGGGAGCUGAUGGUACCACGAGAGAAAGCACCGGCAAACUUCGUGCCAGCAGCCGCGGUAAUACGAAGGGUGCAAGCGUUAUUCGGAAUAACUGGGUGUAAAGCGCGUGAAGGCGGUUUUAUAAGUCAUUUGUAAAAGAGCUCGGCUUAACUGAGCAACUGCAGACGAUACUGUAGAACUAGAGUGCAGGAGAGAAAGGUAGAAUUCUCGGAGUAGCGGUAAAAUGCGUAGAUCUCGAGAGGAAUACCGGUUGCGAAGGCGGCCUUUUGGCCUGUAACCGACGCUCAAGCGCGAAAGCGUGGGUAGCAAACAGGAUUAGAUACCCUGGUAGUCCACGCUGUAAACGAUGAUCACUAGAUGUAGGUUUCGCAAUGCGAGAUCUGUGUCGUAGCUAACGCGUUAAGUG